CAGCCGCCGCGGGAAUACGAAGGGGGCUAGCGUUGUUCGGAAUUACUGGGCGUAAAGCGCACGCAGGCGGCUCGAUAAAUUAGAAGUGAAAGCCUUGGGCUUAACCUGAGAAUUGCUUUUAAGACUGUCGAGCCAGAAUCCAGAAGAGGGUAGUGGAAUUCCGAGUGUAGAGGUGAAAUUCGUAGAUAUUCGGAAGAACACCAGUGGCGAAGGCGACUACCUGGUCUGGCAUUGACGCUCAUGUGCGAAAGCGUGGGGAGCAAACAGGAUUAGAUACCCCAGUAGUCCCUGUCUCUUAUAC
This 301-nucleotide ribosomal RNA is filed under the name uncultured bacterium. RNAcentral describes it as "partial 16S ribosomal RNA". It matches the Rfam family "Bacterial small subunit ribosomal RNA", at positions 509 to 807 of the family's 1533-position model. The record is from RNAcentral.